AUUGAACGCUGGCGGCAGGCUUAACACAUGCAAGUCGAACGGUAACAGGAGAAAGCUUGCUUUCUUGCUGACGAGUGGCGGACGGGUGAGUAAUGCUUGGGAAUCUGGCUUAUGGAGGGGGAUAACGACGGGAAACUGUCGCUAAUACCGCGUAGAGUCGAGAGACGAAAGUGCGGGACCGCAAGGCCGCAUGCCAUAGGAUGAGCCCAAGUGGGAUUAGGUAGUUGGUGGGGUAAUAGCCUACCAAGCCGACGAUCUCUAGCUGGUCUGAGAGGAUGACCAGCCACACCGGGACUGAGACACGGCCCGGACUCCUACGGGAGGCAGCAGUGGGGAAUAUUGCGCAAUGGGGGCAACCCUGACGCAGCCAUGCCGCGUGAAUGAAGAAGGCCUUCGGGUUGUAAAGUUCUUUCGGUAUUGAGGAAGGUUGUUGUGUUAAUAGCACGACAAAUUGACGUUAAAUACAGAAGAAGCACCGGCUAACUCCGUGCCAGCAGCCGCGGUAAUACGGAGGGUGCGAGCGUUAAUCGGAAUAACUGGGCGUAAAGGGCACGCAGGCGGACUUUUAAGUGAGGUGUGAAAUCCCCGGGCUUAACCUGGGAAUUGCAUUUCAGACUGGGAGUCUAGAGUACUUUAGGGAGGGGUAGAAUUCCACGUGUAGCGGUGAAAUGCGUAGAGAUGUGGAGGAAUACCGAAGGCGAAGGCAGCCCCUUGGGAAUGUACUGACGCUCAUGUGCGAAAGCGUGGGAGCAAACAGG
This 758-nucleotide ribosomal RNA is filed under the name uncultured Aggregatibacter sp. Its description in RNAcentral is "bacterial SSU rRNA". It matches the Rfam family "Bacterial small subunit ribosomal RNA", at positions 28 to 776 of the family's 1533-position model. Lineage: Bacteria; Pseudomonadati; Pseudomonadota; Gammaproteobacteria; Pasteurellales; Pasteurellaceae. The record is from RNAcentral.